GAGGUAACUGGAGAGGUGUGAUGAACCUGGGAUGCUUCACGUCUCCUCGACGGCAUCGAUAAAAGAGGGGAACACCUUGACAGGACCGCAGACGAGUCGCCGGAGACGCAACUGUGCGCGCGGCACCGGACGGACGAGCCAACACACCGUAUAGGAAUGUGUGCAGUUACAGGCAAACACACACGCUCGGACAUUACUCAGUUUAGUGCUCUCCGCCGUGUUUGAGUCCUCUUUCAGAAAUAAUUGGAAAUACGGGGCCACACACUGCUGCGCCCCCGAUGGGAACCCAUAAUUGGAGGCGAGCCAGUGACGCGCUGAAAAUAACCAGGUUACCACUUAGCACCGGUCCAUUUUGGGGAGGGCCCAGCAGCACGAGGGCGCAGCACCAUAUAUCAGCUCCUUCCAGCUGUUUGGGAAUAUCCUGCUCACCAUGUCGAGGCUGCAGCAUGGCAGCAGCAGCAGCAGCAGCAGACUUGCUGUCUCAUUUCGCCUCCGUGUCCGUCUUCCCGGGUGUCUCGCUCCAGAAUGGAUAUUGGGUGACUCGGUGCUCGGGGCGCACCGGGGAGAUCUCUCGGAGGGGGACGCAGAAGCUUGGGAGGGCGAGACUGGCACAAGGCGCGACACUGUUGCGUCUACACGUUUCCCCCCCUCCUUGGGCAGACGGGGGAAAGAUAGGCCAGGGGGACUGUCCGACUUAUUCCCAAAGACAAUUUGUCCCCCACCCCCACCCCGAAGGGAUAAUCGUGCUCAAUUUAGGAUGCGUGCAACGUGAAGUGAUCAGAUGUAACUGGGGCGGCAGUGGUGGCUGGUGGACGGUGAAGUUCAACUUCGCUUGCAGACGCGACCUCCUCCUCCUCCUCCUCCUCCAAGCAGCCGGACGAGCGAGCAGUCACUCGGCGCCUUUUACGCGAGGUCCCCAUGUGGCUACGGGAUGCUGACACCUGCAACACCGACUUGUGCAUCACCUACUUCUUCAGACACGGACAGAGAGAGCGUGUCGAGUGGCUGGUGCUCAGCCGCCAUCGCUCCCUCAUGCACCAGCUGAACGGCAACCAGCCUCGCUGUCACCAAGCGAGAACAGAGAGGAGAUAGAGAUCAGGGUGAGCCGGGGGUCAAAUUAACACGAGAGAGGGGUCCACAGCCGGGUGCACCGCAGCUCGUCCCCCUCAGGGCGUCAUGAGGGGCGAAUGACAAUAAGUGAGUUUUUCAACUCUCUUAUCAAAGCGGAAUCCAUUCCGGUUAAGUGUCGAGUCACACGCCAUGUCUCCGCUCUCAGUCACCUGGCUUUCUGAAGAUUCUGCGUGACCGAUGAGUGCAUGUUGAAAAAAAAGCUAUGCCAUCAUCUGCCAAAGUCAUCUGAAUUCCGAGCCCACCAGACGAGCCCAAUUCAGCUUCAAGUGUCAUUCUGGGUGUAAGAGGAUAGAGCUUGAGUUUGGCUUUUAGUGGCUACAGCAGUGUCUAGAAAUGCUGGAGCGUGGGAUGCAAGAGAGGCUUGGUUUUCAUUUUAAAGAAAAGGGAAGUAUUAUUGAUGUAAAUAUUGAGAUAUUGUGAAACAGGAUUUUUACUUGAGUCCUUCUGCUUAUUUUGUGGUUUUAACUGUCAGGAAGUCAGUGCGGGUCUCUCUGCUCGUGCUUUAAAAUUACUCACAUUCACUCGAAGUAAAUUUUCAUGGAUAUGAUCAUUUUGCUGACGCUUUUGUCCAGCGUUUACAAUAAUCAGUGACAUACCAGAGGUAGGCAGGUAGCAUUAUGGCCUUGCCUAAGGGCCCACACUGGAUUUCUUAGCCAAGUGAUGUUUUAAGUUCAGAGCUGGUUCAUUGCUACGUAAAUCCGCCUCAACAGUGAUAAUUGUGGCACUACACUGAGCCUGUGGAUGGCAAAGUCAUACUGAGUGAUGGCAAGACAUAGAAUGGAAAUGAUUCUACUGGCACGACAUGUGGCGUGGCUUCUUUUGGUCUGUUCGGGACUCGGCUGAACCUGUAGAUUCCUCGGAUAUGGGGUGGUGCUGGUGAAUUAAGCGUUCAACGUGACUCCAUGACGGAGAGUGACUUCGAACAACUUCACCCUGGUCUGCGUCAUACUGUCUGUGUGUGUGUGUGUGUGUUACAUGUAUCCUGUACACCUGUCACAAAGACUUGGUGGUGCGCAACAACCUCUGUGAACAAAAAGGAAAAACGGUGGUGAUGAGUAAACCGUGUUGGCAUGACUCAACAGGUGAAAGAGGCGCACCCAUUAGACAAGUUCAGCCCCCCCAACCCCCCUCUCCUCUUACCAGUGGCAGCACAGUCCCAGAUCUCUCUCUAACAGUGGCUGCCAUUAAGGUGUCUGUUGACAGUUCUCCAACACCAGAAGAAAUACUCAAAUCCAGAGCAAACACUGCAGACAAAAGGGGAGAGGGCAAGAGAAGCCUGGAGCAGACCUUCCCUGUGUGGAUCUCUCCAGCACCCAUCUUUUAAAAAAAUGAGAGUGAACCUCCCUGACCUGCUUUGAGCCAAUCAGCCUGUGAAACCUGGCUCUGGUAUGACGAGAGUAAACAGAGGAGAGCGUAAUCUGCUAUCGCAUAUCUGCUAUGGUUUUCCCCCGCUUACUAAUCACCCAAAUGGGAUACAGUUGUUGCUGUCUACUGCCUUUGUGGAUCUGCUGGAGUCGCUCAGACUGGAGGCCUCGUUAUAACGGUCAGCGUUUACUAGGUGAGAACUUUCAAUAAUGUCAAAAUAGGUUGCAUCGCACUGUCAAGUUAUCAUGUGACGGUAACUGCCAGGUGUAACUGUUGUUAAACUGACUGAAUUGACUGGUUGAAAAACUCACAAACAACAAAAUAUCAUGUUAGAAGAGCAGCACAGAUUGUGUGUAGGUCACCGGCACAGCGGCUCAGGAGGUCGUUCCCUAACCUCCACAUGCCGAAGAGUCCCUGGGCAAGACACUGAAGGCUCAAUUGCCCCAGGCAGCUAUUCCGUCAGAGUAUGAAUGUCAACCUGUGGUACAAAAGGCGCAGCACAUAGUACUGUAUCAAUGUGUGUGUGUGUGUGUGUGAAUGGGACUUGUAGUGGUAGCUAAAGCUAGAAAAAUGUUGUAUAAAAACAGUCCAUAAACCGUAAUCACUGCUAUGUGCUUAAAAUAGAAGGAAAGACUGAAGGCACCAUUAAAUGGCCCAUGUAGACAGCUGGAUGGAUCAAAAUAGGAGCACAUCUGUUUCAUCAGACGUGCAAGACAGAUGUGGCUGAAAUGCGUCCUUUGUAGACCGUAAAUGUCCAAGUAUCUUAUGAGAAUAAUCUGAUAUUUCGCACUUGUUUCAAACUACAUGAAUACUGUUAACUCUGAAACACGCGUAUCCCCUCCGUGUUUGCACAUAAAACAAAGAAUUAUACCUAUAUUUCCAAAGUAUUGGCAGUUAAGCUUAAUAUAUCCUUUGACUCCCCUCAUGCGUGAGCCUGUGAUGCUACAGUGACUUUUUAAUGACAUCGAUUUUGAUCUGAAGUCUCUCAUAGCUAAGUUUUAAUGGUGUAACUUAACUAAAAGUUAGGUAGAACUUACAGCCGGUGCAACACAGUCCUGGUCCUGUCACAAUCUGUUUAAUGUAAGAGAUCCAAUUAUUGAUUCCGGCAUCAGGGAAUAUAAUCUGGAGAAAAACUAAUUGGAGUUGCUCCUUCUCACAGGAUCUGGCAGAAGUAUGCCUGGAAUUGUAAACAAAUGAAAAUAACAGGGCAGAAAGUUUAGAUGAUAGUCAGAGUGAAAGGUUAAACUAAACGCCGAACAUAGCUCCAAAAGGAUUUCAGCUAUAGGUGAAGGAAGCAUGUCUCUGUCAGUCACAAACACAUCGAAUGAGAUCUCAGACUCAGACAUGUGCACACACAAAUGUGUACUCAGCGAAAACAUGCACACACAGAUGCACGCAGCCAGACACAUUAACCCACAAACUCUGACCUCAGCUUUUUUGUGCACCGUAUGCUUUUCAUAGGGAAUGUCAAACCGCUCACAGGUAUUGAACUUUUCCACACCGGGCUAUGUUCAGUUCAAUCGGCAGCCACUGUUUGUGCUUGUGAUUAUGUUUGUGUAUACAUAAGCAUAGGGCCAUUUCAUAGUUACACUGCGGGUAUUUGUAUUUGUGCAAAUCUCCUUUAGAAUGAGGAGAAAUGCAACCCUCGUAGUUGAGAGGUGCAACAUCGACCUCAGCUUGAUUUCAGUCUAAAUCUGUGGGGAGGUCAUUCUUCUACACUUUUCCCUCCUUGCUCUGUCGGGUUCCUGUUCUAUUCUGGCUAUCUGGGGUCCACAGUGCACGUUGGCAGACCUCGUCGGUACUUUCUUUUUUUUCGCAUUGCAAAAUCUGUUGGAAGCUGGACUCGGCUCAGCGUUUGUGUGCCCCGCGUUGAGCAACAACCAGCUCCGCGGGGCGAUUGGCAGAUGUCUGUUUGAUGCCGCGGAUACAGUCAUGCCAUUGUGUGGAGUCAGCAAGUGAAUGUGUUUACGUGUGUGCAUGUAUAGAAGGGGUGAGGAAAAGUGGAUGUUUGUUUUGGCCCAAAGAGCAUUCGCCAGAGAAGCGGCUCCUCCUGCCAAAUCUUAUCAAACACACCUGCGCUGCCGAGUGUUUUAUCUCUGCAACCUCUUCAGCACUCGUAAUGGGACGGUGGCCAUUUUACUCCCCACGCCCGGCUCUUCAUAGCUGUGGUGUUUUUGAAAAUACAAAACAGACAGCAGUGGAGGUAAGCCACUGUUUCCCCAAAAUGUCUGUGUAACAUUUGUAGUUAACAAGGGGAUGAGGUCAACAUUUUUCAGCUCACAUUUUUCAGCUAAUCAGUGGCAUGAGAGAGCCUCAUGGUUGCUCUGAUGUUUUCUCCUACUCGCUGUGGCUCACUUGAAGUCCUAUUGUCUGGCCCGAGCCAACAUCCUCCAGUCCAGAGGGCCUCUGUGCCAAGCUUGGCUCUGAGGAUAUUACAAAAAGGGAAAAAGCCAUCUUCCACAAAAACCCUCUUCCAUUACAGGGAAGAGGUUUUCCCCUUCUAUCGAAACUGUCAAUGGAAGUCAUUCAAGCCACUUGGAAAACAUCAAUUGCUGCUGCUUUUUUCCCCCUCGGUCUUUAUGUUGGCAAAAAUGCUCAGUCACGGGGGCAGCAGGAUCCUUCAUAGUUGGUUUGCGGAAGAAAGGGAAAUUGUUUGUGUGCAUGUGUUUUCAUAUCCUUGAUUCUCUUCGGUGUUGUAUGCACGUACUGACGAUCUGCAGAGCACAUGUACAGCUGACAUGUCUGUGAAAUAUCAGCGUCGAUGUUGGUUUUGUCAGUGUAAGCUUUGUAACUGAUGUGGACACGGAUACAUUGCCUAAGUGCGAUUGGAGUAUAGUUUGCCGAAUUAGGAGCUGUUUUAUGUUGGCAGAAGAGGAUAGGAGCAACAAUGUGACAGACAGGCCCGAGGCGACUUUAAACCCAGCAAUGUGACUUCUUGGAGCUUCCUCCUCAUUCCUUGGGCAUAAGAACAUUUGCCUGAAUCCAAAAACAACAGUUUUGGAAAUAUCUUACAUCUGCAUCCCAAAUAUUCAGAUGUGAUUCCAUGACACUCUUAUUCGGGUUGACAGUGUUUUAUUUUUCUGCCUUCGUGCCUCUUCGUGUUUUCUUGUCAUACUUGGCUGUUUUUGUAUUGACUCAUCUCCUCUGCAUAAAGCUUGGGUUAUUUUGGGUAGUGUGGAUGUGGGAAUGAAAAAAAACAUCUACCACACAUACAGUAUGACUACAUGCAGGAGCAGUUUAUACAUUUUAAUGGCAUUAUAUGCCAGAUUAAUGGUGAAGAGGUGAGAAGAAUUCAGAUGAGAAGAUUAAAACCACUCACUGUCGUAUUUGUCAGGUAAACACAAAGCUACUGCGAUCAGUCUCUUACCCUUAAGAGUGGAAAGAGGGGGAAACAGCCAGCCUGGCACCACUUCCAAAGUAGACCGGUUAACAUGUUAUAUCUCAUUUGUUUCAUCUGUACAAACACAGACGUGUAAAAAAACACCACUUUAUGGUUUCACAGAGGCGUAUAUAUACCAUGUCUUGGUCAGGCCCAUUCAUUUCCUGGUGUCUUGCUGUCACCAUGAGGUUGGGAGGCAAUCAUCACCCAGCCAAGAAAUAGUCCAGCUCAUAAUAAUCCCUGUAAAACCACAACUUGUCAUUUUUACGUUUUUGAUUUUUGUACCAAUUUCACAACCAAGAUGUAGAUGCGAUGUGUUUUCUCGUGGUCUUUGGAGAUGCUUGUACAAUGGAUUUUGUUAGCGUUGGGCAGCGCCAUGCCAGCUAUCUCUUUGGUUCCAGUCUCAAGCCAAGCUAAGGUCACAAACUGUUGGCUCUUACUACUUUUUAAUGCUACAUUUACUGUAUAGACACGAGAGUGGCCUCAAUCUACUCUUUGCAAAAGUUGAAUAAGUGUUCUUCCUAAAAUGGUUCAAUGCAUGCUUCAGACAAACUAGUUUGUCUAAACACAUCGCAGGCCAAAAGGGUUUCUUCCUGUUCCGGAUGGCGACCCUUGAAUUCAAGGUGAAAAGCCUGCUCUGUCACAGACAAGGGCAAGACACAAUGAAUUCUACAAAUGCAGAUGAAUGCACAUACUCAGACAGUGUCUCCUCAAAAGUGUUCAUGCCGCUGCAGCAGGCUGUACACGCGAAAAAGGGCCUUGAGAACCGCUGCAUUACGUUGGCCGGCGUGUUGUUGGAUUUUCAGCUCUGGAAAGUUGUAAGUUGUCAGAUGCAGCCCGCUCUCCUAAAGAUCAAGUUGGAAAUGUGUGUGUUGGAGGGCAGGGGGUUUCAGACGCUGUUCAACUUCGCUCGAGGAAUACUGAUGUCUCUAAGUGGAAACUACAACACAGGGAGUCUGUUCACAUCCUGAAAUAUUGAUACAGCGACGAAUACCUGCAUCAGAGCCCGAUCUCUCAUUCUCUCAGUUUACUCACGUCUGGUGACAUUUCAAACUCUCUGUGCGCUUAAUUGUCAAAUAGCCUCGGGCUGUAUAUAGCAAGGGGAGAAUAAAGACAUCUCAAGGCAACAUCAAGUGAGAAGAACAUUCCGCUGUUCCCAAGGCUGUAUUGGGGAUGCGUCAUCUUAAUUCGACUUUGCCCCGACAACGUCCAUCCAUCCACGUGAACCUGCAUGUGUGCACAACUAACACAGUCUGUAUGUUAAAGCUAUUUAGGAAACUUGUAAAAUGUAAAAAAAAAAUCUCCCUCAAGGAAUAAUUAAUACAAACAAAAGUAUGUGUCAUUUGCAUUUUUGUCUAAGGAAUGCAUGCAGAUUUGACCAGUGCCUACGUUUUCUCACGUAAAAUCCUCCAGUUUAGGAACCGCCACUACAAGUAUUGGUCAAAUAAAAUCAAAUUUUGAACUUAACAAACUUAACUGGAAACACAUUAUGGCCCUAGGGGAUUUUAACUCCCCCUGAAGUUGGCUUCUUAAGCAGUGCUCAACUUCCAGGCUGUGCAUCAAUCUCAAUAUGCUCCACCAUUUGAAAUAUAAGAAACUAUUUGUAAUCGGAGACCGACACUUAACCACCAACGUCUUAAAACCUCAAAGUGGCCAUUUGAUUUAUGGAGCUGCUUGCGAGUUUGCACUUGGCAUGCAGGAUGUCCUUCCAAGAUUAUAUUUGAUUUUAUAUGUUUAUUUAUUUGUCAGUUGUCAAAGCAGGUGAGAGAAGGCCAGAAAAUUUCUGACAUAUACACAGUCUAUUUGUAGGGAUGUUGUAAGCGGUCCCGGAUACUGCGUCGGUUGACUUCCACUAUGACACAGAACUAGGGAUGAAAUUAAUAAUUGUUGUGAAUGAAGGGUUGGGUCAUAUUGUUCUGAUGCAAAAAGAAUCUGAAACUUCUGAAGACGAUUUUUUCUUUUAGUUGAACUUAGGUUUUACCAAUGUCUUUAUUAUGGAAACUUUUUUGGGCCAUUUUUAAAUAUCUAUUUAUUGCAAAAGUAAAAAAAGGUAAUAAAAUGCUGUUUCUCAAGAGAGUAGCUGCAUAUUAAAUUCCCCUUGCACUGCAUAAAUCACAAAUGAUCUUUGCAAGAUCUUGAUGGGGCAGAAAAAAAAAUGCUUUAGAGUAUUAGCUUUUUUGAUAUUUUUGUUUGGAUCUAUUUAAACUCGCCAUGUGUUGCUUUCAGUCGCCUACUGAGGUGUUGCUGUGAGAGUAGUGUGUCCAACUUGUGCCUGGGAGCAGAUGAGCAUGUAGAACGGUCCGUGACGUAGCUGUAGGCAUGUUCUUUGUUAGCAAAAUAAGGUCAUUUACACAAAGAGUAGUGCACAUGUUUUCAGUGUUCAAUGGCUGAAUACAAUAUAGUAACACUUAACCUACAACAUACCAAACUAGCAGAAACUGCGACUGCAGCAGUAUCCUGGGACUCCAUUUCGGAAAUCCUGAUAUUGUUAAUUUUACAGAUAUUAUGAGCUAUGCCCCAAACGUAAAAACAAUUCUAGACAAAACAACAACUCGUUACAGAUUUGGAAAUGUGGGGCAUUUUUACAACACUUUUUUAAAAUCUCAGUCUCAUGCUGUUGCUGACAAUGAGAUAAGCAAACAUCAGCCGACAAUAUUUUAUUCUGACUGUUAUAUUAUGAGGCCUUAUUUGGGUAGAUUUUGGCAAGGCAUUGUAACACUUUUGUAGAUUCUUUGGGAGUAAUUUCAACCUCACCCUGAUCCACUAUUGGCUGUCUAAGCUGUAUGAAAAAAAAACCCCAAAAAACUCUGGCUGGCCUCAACCAAAUUCACGCUGUUGGUCUCUUUAGCGAGUAAGCACCACGACAACUGUUCUGUGCUUUGUGUGAUCUGGUGACUCGGGCUCAUGGGGUUGUGGUGUGUUGCAGGCAUCAAUAUAAUUAACUGGUCACAGUCUAGGUUUCCUGGAAGUUGACUGCAUGAGUGCUCUCUCUCUCUCUAUUUCACCUCUUUUCUUUCGUUGUGUUUUUUCCCCCCCUUACUGGCAACUGUCACACGGAACGCUGUGGAGUGGGUGUAAAUAAGAGGAUGUGCAUGCUUAAUGAACAUAAGUAAAAAAUGGCAGUGCAGCUCUGCUCACUGGACUGAAUGUCAAGGCAGCUGAAUGGCUUAAUUAAGUUUGUCUGUUCACACAGAGAAAUGAAAAGUGACAUUUGUUGUCGUGUCAGCCAGGCCGUAUCUGUUUAAUAUUACACUUUCCAUGAAAAUGUCCAAAACAUCUGCAACCAAACUCUGAGAUUUCACCCUCUGAACUCACUUGUCAAACAGAUUAACAUCUGACUAUUACUUGCCAAAAGGAUAUAAUGGGUCCAUAUUAAAUACUGACAGUCACUCCUUGUCAGCGAUAUGUACAGUGUACGGAAAAGUAAAAGGGAGGAAAAAAAACAAUACAAAAAAAAAGAAGAAGUCAGGAAUGGUCUUCUACUCUCAGAUUUACAACCAUGGGGUCAGCGGUGGAAGUGGAGCUGGGGCAGAGUGGUGCAGAGCUCUCCUCCUUCCUCGUGGCUUCCUUCACAUCCCAAGCUCCCACCCAAUUUUUAAAAAACUUUUUGUUACUGUAUAUGGGUCAUACUGCGAAUUGUGUGUACAUGCAGUCGAACAGAGUUCUCCCUUCCAAUGAGCAUGUUGAAAGAAGGACACAAACCCGUUACUUAUAAGUAAAAGUAGCAACACAGAGGAACAAUGGUACAUUGAAAGUAAAGGUCAUGCUUUUAAACCUACUACACUUAAACGUGUGUCAGUGACGCAUCUAAAUGUUCUUUGCAGCCGUUCUGACAGUCGGCACCUUCCAGAAUUUAAGAUUAUUUAUUCAUUAUCCCUUAAGAAGUUCCUCUGAAUACAGUAUUUGUGUUCGAUUGAAUCAUAGACUGCAUCAUGUCAUGUUUUAUGAACCAUUAGUCUGUUCUCAUUAAAACCCUUUUUGCCGCCCUGUAAAUUAUAGACCUCGUGAUGGCAUUGAAAAAGUUAAUACAAAGUCUACAUUGUGUGUGAUUAAGUGUACUUUGUUAUGCUCAACUUCUGCUCUUUUCACAACUGUUAUCUGUGUGCAUGUAUGUGCUGAUGCAUGAAUAGCCCCAGCCUUGAGUAAUCAUUUACAGCAUAGAAUCUAUACGGAACACUUUGUUUAAGGAACCUCCCCAUGUGGUGAAGUACCUUCCUUCAGUAUGGAAGAAGCACUGGUUAGAGGGAUAGAAAAAAUAAGUGAAAUUGUUUAAAAUUCAUUGUUACAGCAACUUUGUCGUAACAAACUGGACCAAAGUGCCAGCAAGUAUUUCACCAGCAAGAGAAAAAAAAGUGAUUCUGUAAUAAAAUAUAUUUGGAUUUAUUAGUCCCAAAGAAUUGUUCUGAAUCCCGAAUCUUUGUUCCCCGCAUGAGAAGUGACUACAAUCUCUGUCCACGCAGGAUGUUUUUGAUGAAGCAGUGGGCUUAAUUUAGGUCCAAGCAUUCUCAGUAUCUGUCACCUAACUCCCAAUGAUCUCAACACACAGCACUGGAGGCGUGCAUGUGUGUGUGCUCAUGUUUAUCCACCCAGGCGAGUAAUAAAUUCAAGAAAUGUACACCGACACUUUUGCCAUCCUAUAAAGAUGGUUGAGACAUGCCCAUCCUCCUUUUUACUUGGUGAACCAAAAAUAAUAAUUAUAAUUGCAGCUUUACUACAGACUAUAGUGAUAUGGUUUCUUUUUUACAUGAUUUUAUUAUGAAUUAUUAAUACUGGCUAUUUAUGCCAAACGCUGAAAGUCUUGAUUUCUUCCAUUAAAGGAAGGGGCUUAGUUAUAGCUCCUACUUGGCCAUAAAAUAACCAAACAGGCACAGGCAUUGCCAGCAAACCCCUGCCAAAGACUUCAGCUUGCACCCAGUGUUCUCUUCCUAAGACAUAAAGACAUUUUUCUGCCCAUUUCUUUCAAUUACACAAUUUUUCUGCCUGCCUGCAUGAAAAAAACCCCAAAACAAAAAAUCUGUUGUAAAGCAGCUGCAUGCUACAUGGUGUGAUAACGUGAAUCUACAUCUUCUGGUCGCGUCCGUUGGGCCUGACAUGUUGGACAUUUUUUGAUGAGUGCAUGCACACGCUGAAAGGAACAAUGUGGUUUUUGAAAGAGAAUCCCGUGAUGUUCUGACCUCGAGCUUGUCGUCAAUUUUAAUGUUGCAUUAAAAUGAACGUGCUCGGACUCGUCAAGUGACCGCACAGAGUAGAGGCGUGUGGUCGUCAUGCAUCCAUAACGAAUGGAAAGAAAAGGAAGACCACACAGAGCCAUGGUCAGAUCAGGUUGACAGAGACCAUAUUUAAAUCUGGGUCAGAGUCCAGGCUAUAACCUCUCUCUCCACUCCCUCAUCUACACCCCAUUCCUCCUUCACCCAAUCCCACUUACCCCCUCUUUGUCUUUUCAAUCUCCCUUUACAACUCUAUCUCAUCACCAACUCUACACAUCCACAUGUCCUUAUUUCCUCCACUCUUUCUCCUGCCUCCUUGUCUUUCUGUCUCUCCAUAUGUUGUGCUGGGCAUGUGCAUGGCCGCAGAGGGCAGCAGCUUUGCCGUCUGCCUGCGUUGAGUUUCACAUGCAGCAUUUAGGAUCUUAUUAGUCUAUCUAUAUAUUAAUAAGAUGAAGAUGAGCAUUGUAUUUGAACAAUGAAGUAAUAAUCCAAAAAUAUCAUGUUGAUAAUUACGAAUUAUUGAGAGUACAAUGGUGGAUUUUUAACCAUUGCUCUUCUCCCAUGAGGAAUUAAGAAAAUUCGAGGCGGGUGUGAGGAACAGCCGUAUGAUUCAUAUUCAGGUCCAGUGGCAGCCAGAUGACUGGGAGUUAUGAGUCUUACAAUAAGCCUAUUCAGUGGUGCUUUACAACAUUUAAGAAAAAGCAGGCGCAGCUGUUUCUGCAAUAUUUGCAGCGGACUUAAAAUUCACGUACUUCCAUAGUAUGCUAAAUGAGACAGGACGAAAAAAUUUAAAGGCCGGUUAUGGACCACUAUUGUUAAGUAAUACACCAAUGUUUUAGGUAAUAUGCUUGAUAGGCUUGAAAAGUAGAGAGUGAUCCAGGACACGUUAAGGGAAAAGGCAUCAUCUCACAAAAAACUCUAUGUUGUGUCGUAGUGAGCCAGGUACCACCACAUCCAAGAACAGCUGGCGUGUCCCGAUUCUUGUGAAUAUGCAAAGCCAGUAACUUUGAGAUAUUGCGUACAACCACUGGGCGCAACUGUUGUUAGUCAGGGAGCAUCUCCAUUGCAAUGGUUAACUGCUUGUUCAACGAAAAAUUGCCUUGGACUUUUUUAUUUCUCAACAUGGGUACACAUUUUUGGGGAAUUGCUGGUUGCAUCUUAGAUGGAGCUUGGCUUAAAGAUUGGAGUUUAAGCUUGAUUUACUAAAAGUAUCCCUUUAAGCAAUGACACCAUACGUUUACCAAUUCAGUCCUUUAAACAGUCUACAUGUCUAGUUUAUUCUUGAAGUCCUUGAUGUUUCUCUUGCUUUCAACCACAUCUCAUGGCCGUGAUUCGCUGAUGAAGUUGCUCAUUCGAGCUCCAUCCAUCCCUAACUUUGGGUGUCAAAAAGUCUGCAUAUGGUUUUGGGGGAAAUUAAAAGUAUUGUUUGUUGGAAACAUUUCAUUUAAGAUCUGAGAGGUGCCACAUUGCUACAUAUUCUCUAAGGCCGACCUGGCAGGCCUGCAGCAACUAUGGCACUGCUCUUGCUACCAUUCAUCAUGGGAAAUGUACAAAUCAACUGGCAUAACCACCGGUGCUUCUUUUCAUUUCGGUGGCUCGGAACCCUUUUGGCGAGUUAACAUGGCUGGUACCAAAACAAUAAAACAUCAUUUCAUUGUCCUGUUUUCAUUCUCGAGGCCUCCCAGUAAGGCGUUCUCUUGAAAACCUCUUCAGUGUGACAUGGAGACAUGCCGGCAGCCACCAGCGGAGCCAUGCCGAGCUCCAGAGCUGCUUUAGAGCCCUGCUGAGACCUGCCAGAGCCGCAGCUUUCCCUGCCAGGAGCCUCGGCUCGCAGUCAGAGUGAGUUACAACCUAAGGUCCUGACACACACAUGCUAAUACAGAAACACACAUACAGAGAGCUUAAAUGUGCACAUUAUAAAUGCAUGAAGAAAAAAGCAUAGAUGGAAAAGAUAGUCGAGUAUAUGCAUAUAUGCAUAUAUACAUAUCGAUACCCCAAAAACAAUGAGCCAAUAGCCUCAUCGAGACGUUUAAUACACGAGGAAGGCCACUGCAUGCAGCUAUUCAUGUCCCUAAACCUAUUUAUUCAAGUUAGCACCGCAGUGACCUCUGGAACUCACACAUACCCCACAGAGAUUGACACGGCGUAUGUAAACAGAAAAAAUGUGUGUGCCAUGUUGCACACAUGCAAUAAAGUGAGCAUGUCCUCCUACAGGAGCUCUCUGUCAGAGUUGCCGUAAGGUCAAGGUCCGGCAGCUGCUGGUUCAGCUGGAUUGAUCCGUCUGGGUAAACAUGUAAGGUGGAAAUGAGCAUGCUUGUGAUCAAGGGCUUAGCGGAAGCCGUGUGUGUGUGUGUGUGUGUGUGUGGGUGAAUAAGAGAGAGGAAGGAUCGAUAUAUGGCUGUACAUAAAGUAUAUUGUAAAUCCUGCAGACUGUGUUUGUUGAAGAGAAUUGAUCCCACAAGCUCCUCAUUCAUCGUCAAUGUGUCUUUUUCUUUACUGAAAACAGUGCAUUUAAUUGUCCGCUCUUGAUGACAAGCCUGAAGAUGAAGUGAAUAAACUGUCUGUAAUAAUUACUUGUGUCUCCCGAACUAUACUUUACCUACUAUAGUUAUGUGCUUACAUGGUUUCCAAUCAAUCAAUUUCCGCCCUUACACAUUACCUUGAUUUAAAAAAUAACAUGGGGUGUUUUUCUUAGCUUACAUAAAGCGUUACAUCGAUACAGACAGUGUUUGGUACCGACUACUAAGGAGAACAGACUGUAUUACAACAGAGCAGCAUGGUUUGUAUAAGGAAGAUACCACACCGACAGAACAACACCGAACCAUACGCAACAAAUCCCAACACCUUUGCAGUCAUUGGUUGAAAAGGCGACAUGUAGUGAUGGUAAAUACACUAUAUGAUUAAGGUGAAGUAACUGAAAAUACUUGGUUAAAGUCUGGUUAAAACCCAAACUAAUGGGUAGUUGUCAGAUGUCUGUAUUCUAUAUACAGCCUUGAUGUGAUAUCAAUGGCGGACAGCCAGGACAUUUCCUUGCGGCCUGUGGAUCAUUUCGGCCUGCAGGGAAGAGUCAACGUGAUAAUAUAGCCGGCAGGAAUGAGGCGACAGACCCCAGAAUCCAUCAGGCACAUCCCUUAUUGCAGUGACAAAAAUGACCAUGUAGCUAAGUAGUCUGCUUCUCCACCAAUAAUAUUUAGACGAAAGGUGGAAAAGCCCUUGCCACUCAAUAAAGCUGCUUUCAGACAUGCCCGAAGUCCGGACAUUUUCCAGAGUUUAUGUCUGAAAACAGCUUGAGCAACAUGUUCACCAGUGAGGGUCUAUAGUCGGUCAAAAAUACGAACUAAACGUACAAUGUUGAAGCUCAGUGAAUGUGUGUGUAUGAAGUUUUCUGAUACUCUUGGUAUGUUGGAUUUUUGAAUAUGAAUUUAAUUUGAACAAUUGAGCUUACUGGAUUUCAUCUCUCAAACUAUAGGCUAAUUGUUUGGUGUCUGGUCUUGUACAUUUGUACGUGCUAUGAUUGGUUUAUUCUGAGUGUUUUUGUUUUUUUUUAGGCAAAGCCUAAAGAGAUAGCAUAGUAUAGAAGUCGGUAUUCAGAUACCAGCCCCAUAUUUUUAUAUUCUGUAAUUUGGAUAAUUUCCCUAACAGAUGAACAUAGUGAACAGGAACAUUACUGAACUGGAAUCUUUUACAUCAACAAAUAGGGUCAGCUUACAAAAUUAAUAGUUUGGUGGUUUGCGUGAAGGCAGUGACCUGUGAUGAGUUAAAUUUCCAGCCUGAAUUAUUGUUUCAGGUCAUUCUUUAAAUCCCCAAACUUUCAACUUACACGAUAUUGGAGCGAUAAGUAUACAAUUGAUUAAUGAGACACUACAUUACAUUACAGUCCCAGAACUGUAUUAGGAAGGGGUACUAAACAGACAAAUUGUUUAGACUAUAUCUGAGAUUGUUGAAACAGUUUGUAAACUCUAUUGGUGUAUGUUUGAUCGUCGUGAUGCACAAUCUUUGUGAAGUUGCCAUUUGCUGCCGAGUGUUUUUGUUUUUACAUAGUUCUUUUUUACUCUCCUUUCCAGUAUGAUGCGCUUUUGAUGUUUCUCCUGUUCAUUUUAUUGUGUGAAAGUAAUGACUGCAUGUUUUGUGGUUUAAUUUGAUAAUUUUUGUCCAUUUUUUGUGUGAAAUGUAUGUAAAAUUCAAUAAAAUUAUUAUAUUGGAAAAAAAGCAUUACAGUGCACGUGUGGAUACAUGUCCGUGUCCGAUCUGGAGUUAAUCAGGGCGUAGAUGUUUCAGUGACACUCUUGUCACUAUGCAAUAAACUACAGUGGACUGUGCUAUCUGCUGCUAUGACACGUAAUAUAUAUACAAAUUAUAUAUAUAUUGUUUUUAACUGUGAUAUACUGUGUGUACAAUAUGCUAUUUCAAACUAAACUCUUAACAACUUAGCUGCAUCUGGACACAACCAUAUUCAGCACUCACAUGUGGGCUGAAAAAAAGUUUUAGUGCGGUUCCGUGCAAAUGUAUCUCACAGAGGUGAUAUACUGUGUGCACAUGAGCAGCUAUAAGGCUUGUGUCUACAUUAGUCCCAGGAAUGUUAAUGUGAUGUAAUAGUGAUGUGGGUGUGGAGAAAGAGUCCCCUAGAGCUGAGUUAGGGUCUUAAAGUAAUAAAAAGCCUUGACCCGGACCCUGCACACCCACUCACAGGGACACAGCACCUCUCUUCCAGCCCAGCACAUGCUUUCAUACUUUGGCUAUGCAGCAAGGGAACAUGCACAUGGACACACCCACAAACACAGACUCAAGAAAGACAAGAAAAGGAUAUGAACCCAAAUAACAAACAUAUGUUUCACUUAGGAGGAUGAGCACAAAAUGUACCCAGUCACAAAUGUCAACGCGUUGGCUCUCCCUCGCCCCAAACAAACGCAUGCACACAACUGAACACAUCCCCGUUGUCUUGUGUUGUUCGUCAUGCAACAAGGAGCACAUGACUUAAAUCGGGUGUGGUGCAUGACCUGUUAUCAGACAAAAGCAUCCCACAGAGAGAGCUGAUGGGGGAGACUGUGCCUCCCCCCCUGUCCUGUCUGUCGGCAGUCAUGAGGUCUCCAUCCCGUUCGCCAUGCCGUGUCUCGUGGUUCAAAGCCCAUAAAAUGUUUGAGCUAAAAAAUCCCCCGCUCUUAAAACAUUCAGGCAUGGCGGCGUGUCGUCAAUAAAUCAGCUGCACCGCCUGAGGAGAGCGGCUUUAACCAGGGGGAAGGAAUUGCUAAAGGCUUCUUUUUAAUGCAUAUUCCUCAAGAAUGAAGCCUUUGAAUAUUUUUUUUUGUCUGGUUGCAUUCUAUAAAUAUCUCACCUAGAGGGCCUGAUGUCUUGGAUUGAGAACGGUUGGUUUGUAUUUCCUGCAUUAAAGGGGUAGUAAGCGAUUUUAAACCAAUACACAUUUAACAAAAAAAAAGUUUCUUUCAGCGCAGGCCUGGCUCUGUAAAUCGUAAAAACUUCAAAAUGGUGUGGACUGUACCUCACAGUGUGUGCAGUUUGUUAAAAUUAUUAAAGACUUGCUAGCGAAUUAAGCUACGACUCAGGGGGGUUUUGGUUUUGUGGUUAGCACGUCAGUGGCUGCGGGUUCAAGGCCUGGUCAGUUAAAGUCCUCAUCAACAACAACAAAGAGACAAACAAGCUUUCUCCAAAAUCACCUACUGUCCCUUUAAGCCCCUAUAUGCUUUGUGGUCAUGCAAAGUUAAAUGCAAAAAUUCCAAAUACAGAAGUUGUAUCCUGUUUUAUCUCAUUUAACUGAUCUAUUUUUAGUGCCUUGUUGAUUAGUUCAUAUAAUUUGCUGUCAUAAUAAUGAUAAUAGUGCACAGAUCAUUUCUUGACCCAAGACAGUCCCGUCAAGCAAACUGGUCGUACCUAACCUUAUCUCAGUUUCAGUGACAGCACUGACUUCCCAGGAUUAAUGAUGUUUUCACGGCAACAGUUUUAGAGCCUAAUAAAUUCUUAGGCAAAUACUAUAUAUUUUUAUGUUGCAUGCAAGGUUUCAUAGGCAGGCAGUUAAAAUGCUUCUGCAAGUGUUAAAAUGGUUAGUAGAGCAAUUUCCACCAUAAGUGAAAAGGUACCAAAUAAAAAUGAGUGAAAAAUGAGGUGGGGGAGAAGAAAAAGGACGUGACUUACAAAAGUUUAUUACUGAACAACCCCUCUUUGAUAGGGUUGAUAACCGAUAAAGGUUGGCAAAGUGUAACAAAAAGGGUGAAAUCAAAUUCAGCAUACAAAAAGAAGUGUGUGUCUGUGUGUGUGUAUAAUAGC
Molecule: long non-coding RNA, 17361 nt
Organism: Scophthalmus maximus (turbot)
Lineage: Eukaryota; Metazoa; Chordata; Actinopteri; Pleuronectiformes; Scophthalmidae
Exons: 2
Source: RefSeq, a predicted model, not a curated record